AAAGAUUAAUACCCGAUGGCAUAGUUCUUCCGCAUGGUAGAACUAUUAAAGAAUUUCGGUCAUCGAUGGGGAUGCGUUCCAUUAGGUUGUUGGCGGGGUAACGGCCCACCAAGCCUUCGAUGGAUAGGGGUUCUGAGAGGAAGGUCCCCCACAUUGGAACUGAGACACGGUCCAAACUCCUACGGGAGGCAGCAGUGAGGAAUAUUGGUCAAUGGACGAGAGUCUGAACCAGCCAAGUAGCGUGAAGGAUGACUGCCCUAUGGGUUGUAAACUUCUUUUAUACGGGAAUAAAGUGAGGCACGCGUGCCUUUUUGUAUGUACCGUAUGAAUAAGGAUCGGCUAACUCCGUGCCAGCAGCCGCGGUAAUACGGAGGAUCCGAGCGUUAUCCGGAUUUAUUGGGUUUAAAGGGAGCGUAGGCGGACGCUUAAGUCAGUUGUGAAAGUUUGCGGCUCAACCGUAAAAUUGCAGUUGAUACUGGGUGUCUUGAGUACAGUAGAGGCAGGCGGAAUUCGUGGUGUAGCGGUGAAAUGCUUAGAUAUCACGAAGAACUCCGAUUGCGAAGGCAGCCUGCUGGACUGUAACUGACGCUGAUGCUCGAAAGUGUGGGUAUCAAACAGGAUUAGAUACCCUGGUAGUCCACACAGUAAACGAUGAAUACUCGCUGUUUGCGAUAUACAGUAAGCGGCCAAGCGAAAGCGUUAAGUAUUCCACCUGGGGAGUACGCCGGCAACGGUGAAACUCAAAGGAAUUGACGGGGGCCCGCACAAGCGGAGGAACAUGUGGUUUAAUUCGAUGAUACGCGAGGAACCUUACCCGGGCUUGAAUUGCAACUGAAUGAUGUGGAGACAUGUCAGCCGCAAGGCAGUUGUGAAGGUGCUGCAUGGUUGUCGUCAGCUCGUGCCGUGAGGUGUCGGCUUAAGUGCCAUAACGAGCGCAACCCUUAUCGAUAGUUACCAUCAGGUUAUGCUGGGGACUCUGUCGAGACUGCCGUCGUAAGAUGUGAGGAAGGUGGGGAUGACGUCAAAUCAGCACGGCCCUUACGUCCGGGGCUACACACGUGUUACAAUGGGGGGUACAGAAGGCAGCUACACGGCGACGUGAUGCUAAUCCCGAAAGCCUCUCUCAGUUCGGAUUGGAGUCUGCAACCCGACUCCAUGAAGCUGGAUUCGCUAGUAAUCGCGCAUCAGCCNC
This 1192-nucleotide ribosomal RNA is filed under the name uncultured organism. RNAcentral's name for it is "SSU rRNA". It matches the Rfam family "Bacterial small subunit ribosomal RNA", at positions 158 to 1355 of the family's 1533-position model. The record is from RNAcentral.